GAGUUUGAUCCUGGCUCAGGACGAACGCUGGCGGUGCGCCUUAUGCAUGCAAGUUGAGCGAAGCUUUUUGGUAGUUUACUACUAGAAAUGACUGAGCGGCGAACGGGUGAGUAACGCGUGAGCAAUCUACCUUAGUUACUGGGAUAGCCCGAGGAAACUCGGAUUAAUACCGGAUAUUCUUAUUUUUUCACAUGAAGUUUUAAGGAAAGGUCAGCCGAACUAAGAUGAGCUCGCGUUCUAUCAGCUAGUUGGUGGGGUAAAAGCCUACCAAGGCUACGACGGAUAGCUGGUCUGAGAGGACGAUCAGCCACACUGGGACUGAGACACGGCCCAGACUCCUACGGGAGGCUGCAGCAGGGAAUAUUGUGCAAUGAGCGAAAGCUUGACACAGCGACACCGCGUGUGGGAUGACGGUUCUAGGAUUGUAACCACUUUCAGGAGGGAAGAAAAUGACGGUGCCUCCACAAGAAGACCCGGCCAACUAUGUGCCAGCAGCCGCGGUAAUACAUAGGGGUCAAGCGUUGUCCGGAUUUAUUGGGCGUAAAGAGCUCGUAGGCGGUUCAACAAGUCGGUCGUAAAAGUUUAGGGCUCAACCCUAAAAUGUCGAUCGAUACUGUUGUGACUAGGAUACGGUAGAGGUGAAUGGAAUUCCGAGUGGAGCGGUGAAAUGCGUAGAUAUUCGGAGGAACACCAAUUGCGAAGGCAGUUCGCUGGACCGUGAUCGACGCUGAGGAGCGAAAGCUAGGGGAGCAAACAGGAUUAGAUACCCUGGUAGUCCUAGCUGUAAACGAUGGAUACUAGAUGUAGGAACUGGAUUGACGGUUUCUGUAUCGUAGCUAACGCGUUAAGUAUCCCGCCUGGGGAGUACGGUCGCAAGACUAAAACUCAAAGGAAUUGACGGGACCCCGCACAAGCGGCGGAGCAUGCGGCUUAGUUCGAUGAUACCCGUAGAACCUUACCUGGACUUGACAUAUAGGGAAAAACAGGAGAAAUCCAGUGUGCGUAAGCGCCCUAUACAGGUGGUGCAUGGCUGUCGUCAGCUCGUGUCGUGAGAUGUUGGGUUAAGUCCCGCAACGAGCGCAACCCCUGUCCUAUGUUGCCAGCAAGUAAUGUUGGGGACUCAUAGGAGACUGCCGGUGAUAAACCGGAGGAAGGUGGGGACGACGCCAAGUCAUCAUGCCCCUUAUGUCCAGGGCUGCACGCAUGCUACAAUGGCAAGUACAACGAGUCGCAAUACCGCGAGGUGGAGCAAAUCUCUUAAAGCUUGUCUCAGUUCGGAUAGGAGUCUGCAACUCGACUCCUUGAAGUUGGAGUCGCUAGUAAUCGCAAAUCAGCAAAGUUGCGGUGAAUACGUUCUCGGGGUUUGUACUCACCGCCCGUC
Molecule: ribosomal RNA, 1381 nt
Filed under: uncultured marine bacterium
Lineage: Bacteria
Description: bacterial SSU rRNA
Rfam family: Bacterial small subunit ribosomal RNA
Source: RNAcentral